UCCCUGGUGGAGCAGCUGGUUAAGGACCCGGCAUUGUCACUGCUGUGGUGCAGGUUCAAUCCCUGCCCAGGGAC
Transfer RNA from Sus scrofa (pig), 74 nucleotides. It matches the Rfam family "tRNA". From Rfam's summary of the family: Transfer RNA (tRNA) molecules are approximately 80 nucleotides in length. Their secondary structure includes four short double-helical elements and three loops (D, anti-codon, and T loops). Further hydrogen bonds mediate the characteristic L-shaped molecular structure. tRNAs have two regions of fundamental functional importance: the anti-codon, which is responsible for specific mRNA codon recognition, and the 3' end, to which the tRNAs corresponding amino acid is attached (by aminoacyl-tRNA synthetases). tRNAs cope with the degeneracy of the genetic code in two manners: having more than one tRNA (with a specific anti-codon) for a particular amino acid; and 'wobble' base-pairing, i.e. permitting non-standard base-pairing at the 3rd anti-codon position. The record is from Rfam. NCBI's taxonomy places the organism in Eukaryota, Metazoa, Chordata, Mammalia, Artiodactyla, Suidae.